This 968-nucleotide unclassified non-coding RNA is filed under the name Hevea brasiliensis (rubber tree). Lineage: Eukaryota; Viridiplantae; Streptophyta; Magnoliopsida; Malpighiales; Euphorbiaceae. The record is from RNAcentral.
GAACGGGGAAACGCUCCCGCCUCCAGUUUCCAUGCAUCGUAGCCGUUUUCAAAACCUGAAAGAAGCUAUAUAAGAAAUUAUGAUUCAGAAGGAAGGGAAUAUGAUUCUUUCAGAAUUCCAUUUGUUAAGCAAAUACCAAAAUCAGAACCAGAAUACCAUUCUGACAAGAAACAGGACAUUGACUCGAGAAUCAUUCAAAUGAUCCUGCAAUACCAAAUUUCAAAAUAAGUUACAUGAUUUGCGAUACAGAAUUCUUUCUGUGAAGACUAUUAGGUAUUACAGAAGUAAUACCUGAUUGUUAGAAUGAUGCAGAUGUCUUAUUACAGGAGAUAUGGGAAAAUGAUAGGCAAAUAAUCUCCUUUACCUCAUCCAAGAACUGGAGUCCCAGGCGCCACAGUAUGCAAGAUUUGAAGAGAACUGACGCUUUGGAUACCCUGAAUAUGGAUUUCAGAUUCUUGAACUUGAAUUCAGAGAUGCAAACGUGGGAUACAAAUCUAUGCCCAAUUUUCUAGACCGUCAAGUUCCCACUCUGGAAUUGGCUGUGUCAGAUUCACACAUAUGAAUGCUCAGCUAGGUUUGGAGGUAAACAGCCUUCUGGAAAUGACACUCUGCAAUUUGAUAUCUCUAAAUAUCGAAGGGAAGUGAGAUUUUGCAUCUGACUGGGUAGAGACCUCAAAUUUUCACAGAACAUAAUUUUCAAAGAGACAAGCUUGGGGUUGGGCAAUCCCAUUUCUGGAAACAACUCAAAUUGAUCACAGCAGCAUAUCUGUAAACUUUGGAGACACUGGAGGUCUUGCAUAUGAUUGGUUAGAGAUCUCAGUCUUCCACAGUAGGAAAUCUUUAAAGAGAUAAGAGUAGGGAUGGGCAAUUCCCUCUCUGGAAACGACUCUAGUUCAAGACAGUUGUCUAUUCUUAGUUGUGUGAGAUGAGAAAGCCCAUAAUAAAGGGAGUUUAAUGAUUGUGUCGUC